This 280-nucleotide long non-coding RNA is filed under the name Lathyrus oleraceus (garden pea). Its description in RNAcentral is "Pisum sativum (pea) long non-coding RNA (PSAT_LNC021851)". Lineage: Eukaryota; Viridiplantae; Streptophyta; Magnoliopsida; Fabales; Fabaceae. The record is from RNAcentral.
UGGAUGAUGAUGAAAAUCGAGCUUGAGAAUGCUUAGAUCAAUGCUAUUUUCCAACUGCCAUUGGAGGAUGAACCUUGCUUUGGUGCGGAUCCGGAUGCGUUUUGCUCCAAAUUUCCUUCAACAGAAUUGCAAUAACACCUGCACAGGGAGGAUCAAGAGAGAAAACACGAAAAACUAGAGGAAAUCUUGGUGAAUUUUGGAAGAAUAUGAAGAUGCAAAGUGUAGAAAAAUGAGAGAAAAAUGGGAGUUCUUGAGAUUUUCUUUUGUUGAAUUGGUGAAU